UGGACCUUUGUACUAUGUCCGUUUUGUAAUGUGAUACUCCUACUUACAUGUUUGUCAUCUGAACCCUUGAACCCACUAAAAACAACAUUUUAAACACUUUUUUGGUGAUUGUGACACACUCUCUCCAUGUCAGCUUCCACUUCAUUUAAAAUGUUACAUUAAAUUCCACAUCAUUUUUUAAAUGCCACAUAAGAAAUUAAAUAUUAAAAAAAUAAAAAAAUUGAAAUUGAGAAUUAAAAAUAAAAUAAAAAUAAAAAAGAGGUGAAAAUCAUCUGCUCUCUCUUCUCCAUCUCUCUGUUCUCUAUCUUUUCUUCACUUAAGCUAGAUAUCAAGUUCUGGUACCAAGAACAUCUUCCAAGAAACAUUUCCAGAAAUGUCUUUUCAUUCAUUGUCAAAAUUCAAAAAAGAAAUGUCUUUUCGUGAUUGAAUGAGCCUAGCGUGAGCAAAUUCAUCUCAACAAUCAGUGUUUUGCAGAUGAACAAUUUUAAGAGUUCAUCUAAAGCAAGUUGACUUAUUUUUUCAGUUGCCGGAGUUUGGGUUGUCGGAGAAAUACUACGGCGAUGAAUUCGGCAAGUUUGAUUUUGACGAUUUUGCCCUUGAAACUCGGUAGUAGACGUAGAGUAAAUGGUGGGGGCUGUGUGUGGAGUGGGGGCGUUAAUGGUGGUGUUGCGGCUCUACUGUCAUGACAACCUUGGAUUGUGAAAAAAUUAAAAUUUUGGUGUUUUUCUACACUUUGUUUAAGGUUAUUUUUUGAUACCCAUAGCUUAUUUUUGACAAUUUUGAAGUUGGAUUGUGAAAAAGAUUAAAAUUUUGGUAUUUUUAUACACUUUGUUUAAGGUUGUUUGGCGGUGAUAGAGAAGAAAAGAGGAAUUUGGGGGGAGGUUGAAGAGAAGAGAGGGGUGGAAGCGGGGGACUGAUAGAAG
RNAcentral lists this long non-coding RNA (923 nucleotides) under Capsicum annuum. RNAcentral describes it as "long non-coding RNA (CANN_LNC000398)". The record is from RNAcentral. Lineage: Eukaryota; Viridiplantae; Streptophyta; Magnoliopsida; Solanales; Solanaceae.